GACGAACGCUGGCGGCGUGCUUAACACAUGCAAGUCGAACGGAAAGGCCCCUUUGGGGGUCCUCGAGUGGCGAACGGGUGAGUAACACGUGAGUAACCUGCCCUUGACUUCGGGAUAACUUCAGGAAACUGGGGCUAAUACCGGAUAGGAAUCCUUGCUGCAUGGUGGGGGUUGGAAAGCUUCGGCGGUUUUGGAUGGACUCGCGGCUUAUCAGCUUGUUGGUGGGGUAGUGGCUUACCAAGGCUUUGACGGGUAGCCGGCCUGAGAGGGCGACCGGCCACAGUGGGACUGAGAUACGGCCCAGACGCCUACGGGAGGCAGCAGUGGGGAAUAUUGCACAAGGGGCGGAAGCCUGAUGCAGCAACGCCGCGUGCGGGAUGACGGCCUUCGGGUUGUAAACCGCUUUCAGCAGGGGCGAAGCUUGUGGUGACGGUACCUGCAGAAGAAGCACCGGCUAACUACGUG
Molecule: ribosomal RNA, 465 nt
Filed under: uncultured bacterium
Lineage: Bacteria
Description: partial 16S ribosomal RNA
Rfam family: Bacterial small subunit ribosomal RNA
Source: RNAcentral